AAGUGUUCGGAUCGCGGCGACGCGGGCGGUCCGCCGCCGGCGACGUCGCGAGAAGUCCACUGAACCUUA
Molecule: ribosomal RNA, 69 nt
Filed under: Chamaecrista olesiphylla
Lineage: Eukaryota; Viridiplantae; Streptophyta; Magnoliopsida; Fabales; Fabaceae
Also listed under: 1 other name
Description: partial 18S ribosomal RNA
Source: RNAcentral